UACACACCUGCAGUGUUGGGGUUGCCCGGA
Molecule: non-coding RNA, 30 nt
Filed under: Mus musculus (house mouse)
Lineage: Eukaryota; Metazoa; Chordata; Mammalia; Rodentia; Muridae
Source: RNAcentral